GAUGAAGAACGUAGCGAAAUGCGAUAAGUAAUGUGAAUUGCAGAUUCAGUGAAUCAUCGAAUCUUUGAACGCACAUUGCGCCCGCCAGUAUUCUGGCGGGCAUGCCUGUCUGAGCGUCAUUUCAACCCUCAUGCCCCUAGGGCGUGGUGUUGGGGAUCGGCCAAAGCCCGCGAGGGACGGCCGGCCCCUAAAUCUAGUGGCGGACCCGUCGUGGCCUCCUCUGCGAAGUAGUGAUAUUCCGCAUCGGAGAGCGACGAGCCCCUGCCGUUAAACCCCCAACUUUCCAAGGUUGACCUCAGAUCAGGUAGGAAUACCCGCUGAACUUAAGCAUAUCAAUAAGCGGAGGA
RNAcentral lists this unclassified non-coding RNA (347 nucleotides) under soil metagenome. RNAcentral's name for it is "partial contains 5.8S ribosomal RNA, internal transcribed spacer 2, and large subunit ribosomal RNA". The stretch from base 1 to 119 matches the Rfam family "5.8S ribosomal RNA", at positions 35 to 154 of the family's 154-position model. The record is from RNAcentral.